Molecule: ribosomal RNA, 495 nt
Filed under: uncultured bacterium
Lineage: Bacteria
Description: partial 16S ribosomal RNA
Rfam family: Bacterial small subunit ribosomal RNA
Source: RNAcentral
AACGAACGCUGGCGGCAUGCCUAACACAUGCAAGUCGAACGCUGAAGGAGGAGCUUGCUCUUCUGGAUGAGUUGCGAACGGGUGAGUAACGCGUAGGUAACCUGCCUGGUAGCGGGGGAUAACUAUUGGAAACGAUAGCUAAUACCGCAUAACAGUAGAUGUUGCAUGACAUUUACUUAAAAGGUGCAAUUGCAUCACUACCAGAUGGACCUGCGUUGUAUUAGCUAGUUGGUGGGGUAACGGCUCACCAAGGCGACGAUACAUAGCCGACCUGAGAGGGUGAUCGGCCACACUGGGACUGAGACACGGCCCAGACUCCUACGGGAGGCAGCAGUAGGGAAUCUUCGGCAAUGGACGGAAGUCUGACCGAGCAACGCCGCGUGAGUGAAGAAGGUUUUCGGAUCGUAAAGCUCUGUUGUAAGAGAAGAACGAGUGUGAGAGUGGAAAGUUCACACUGUGACGGUAUCUUACCAGAAAGGGACGGCUAACUACGUG